RNAcentral lists this ribosomal RNA (792 nucleotides) under Arthrobacter sp. B21(2012). RNAcentral's name for it is "bacterial SSU rRNA". It matches the Rfam family "Bacterial small subunit ribosomal RNA", at positions 59 to 861 of the family's 1533-position model. Lineage: Bacteria; Bacillati; Actinomycetota; Actinomycetes; Micrococcales; Micrococcaceae. The record is from RNAcentral.
AAGUCGAAACGAUGACCCCGUGCUUGCACGGGUGAUUAGUGGCGAACGGGUGAGUAACACGUGAGUAACCUGCCCCCGACUUUGGGAUAAGCCCGGGAAACUGGGUCUAAUACCGGAUAUGACUUCUUACCGCAUGGUGGGUUGUUGAAAGAUUUAUCGGUGGGGGAUGGACUCGCGGCCUAUCAGCUUGUUGGGUGAGGUAAUGGCUCACCAAGGCGACGACGGGUAGCCGGCCUGAGAGGGUGACCGGCCACACUGGGACUGAGACACGGCCCAGACUCCUACGGGAGGCAGCAGUGGGGAAUAUUGCACAAUGGGCGAAAGCCUGAUGCAGCGACGCCGCGUGAGGGAUGACGGCCUUCGGGUUGUAAACCUCUUUCAGUAGGGAAGAAGCGAAAGUGACGGUACCUGCAGAAGAAGCGCCGGCUAACUACGUGCCAGCAGCCGCGGUAAUACGUAGGGCGCAAGCGUUAUCCGGAUUUAUUGGGCGUAAAGAGCUCGUAGGCGGUUUGUCGCGUCUGCCGUGAAAGUCCGAGGCUCAACCUCGGAUCUGCGGUGGGUACGGGCAGACUAGAGUGAUGUAGGGGAGACUGGAAUUCCUGGUGUAGCGGUGAAAUGCGCAGAUAUCAGGAGGAACACCGAUGGCGAAGGCAGGUCUCUGGGCAUUUACUGACGCUGAGGAGCGAAAGCAUGGGGAGCGAACAGGAUUAGAUACCCUGGUAGUCCAUGCCGUAAACGUUGGGCACUGGUGUGGGGGACAUUCCACGUUUUCCGCGCCGUAGCUAACGCAUU